CAUCAGGCUAUUUUUUGGAUAUUGAUGAUACUGUUAAACUGAAUAUCAUGGCCCCUGUGCAAGGAUGACACACAAGUUCGUGAAGCAUUCCAUAUUUUA
This 99-nucleotide small nuclear RNA is filed under the name Pongo abelii (Sumatran orangutan). Lineage: Eukaryota; Metazoa; Chordata; Mammalia; Primates; Hominidae. The record is from RNAcentral.